ACGAGGAUCACAGUUUUGUUGAUCAUCCACCGUUGAUAACAUUAAAUCUAACGGACAGAAAUCUUCCUUUUAUUUUGUUUCUCAUUCCCAACAAAAGCAAUUACUCUCUUCUUCUUCUCUUUUUUUUUUUUACGAUCUCUACUUCUCUUCUCCUGUUUCCUUUUUGUUUUUCUGAUCUCGCAUAUCAAGCCUCCGCCACCGCGUCUUGAAGCCGUCGUUCACCACCACCACCACCAUUGACGAUGUUCAACGCAUCAGCGCCGUGACAUCAGCCCUGGAGUUCAACGCAACGACGCCGUCACAUCAGCCAUGGAGUCUGAUCCAAAUUCCGAUUGCUGCAAUGUUUUCAAUGGGCAACAAUGAGAGCUCCUAGAUCUGAUGCCCGACGAACCCUCACCCUCCAGCCACCACCAGAUCCGACGCCACGAGACCACCGAAGAUGCUUGACGGAAAGACAUCUCGUGAAGCAUUUUUUAAUUUUUUUUUUUUUUUUUUGGUAAGGUUU
Arabidopsis lyrata subsp. lyrata is the source of this 505-nucleotide long non-coding RNA. RefSeq lists it as uncharacterized. The transcript is spliced from 2 exons. The record is from RefSeq and is a predicted model, not a curated record. Lineage: Eukaryota; Viridiplantae; Streptophyta; Magnoliopsida; Brassicales; Brassicaceae.